AAAUGUUACAACUCUGUUAGAGUUUGUCUAGCAGGUUUUCUGGUCUUUGUGGAAAAACCCCC
Nomascus leucogenys (northern white-cheeked gibbon) is the source of this 62-nucleotide small nuclear RNA. Its record names the gene U7. It matches the Rfam family "U7 small nuclear RNA". From Rfam's summary of the family: Animal histone pre-mRNAs are spliced by a different mechanism than nuclear pre-mRNAs and self-splicing introns. Lineage: Eukaryota; Metazoa; Chordata; Mammalia; Primates; Hylobatidae. The record is from Ensembl.